UGAAGUGACCAAAUAAAUAGGAGUGCAAAAUAGGAGGAUUUGCAUGACAAGCCUCCCAUUUUACAUGAAGUGGCCAGCCAUCAUGUUGAAUGUAGACAAAAUGUACACUUGAUAUCCAUAAUUUAUGGUACAAAUUGAUACAAAUUGAUAAUAGGUUAGGUAAAUGUUUCAUGAUAAUGUGUUAGGUAAAUGUUUCAUGAUAAUGGGUUAGGUAAAUGUUUUAUGAUAAUGUAUUAGGUAAAUGUUUCAUGAUAAUGGGUUAGGUAAAUGUUUCAUGAUAAGAAUUUCAUGUCUUUUGUAUUAAAGAAUUAAAUGGAUGAAAUAUGAAGUUUUAUUAAAGAAAAAGGGGUGAAAAGAACAAAGUUUUGUCCAUCUUUGUUCAUCAUAGCUGAAAGUUAGAGAAGAGAAAGGAGAGGAGAAAGCUCUUGAGUAUUUGGUCAUUAGGAGGAGGAGAAUUGAAGGAAAUCCCCAACCAUAGUGGGCUUGGAGCUGUGAGGGAAUUCGGAGUGGCCACCCGUUCUGAAAGUUUGAUUUUCUUCUGGUGAACUGGACAUCCUUUUAAUUACGUUUGUGGUUUUGGGCUUUUAAAUGUAAUAAGGCCGCUUAUUUAUUUUUGGUGGUUUUUAAUAUGUAUUAGUAAGAUAGGUAAUACUUAUUUUAACUGUUGAAAUUGGAUAGCUUUAGGGCGCGUUUUCAAAAACAA
This is a long non-coding RNA of Gossypium arboreum, 703 nucleotides long. RefSeq lists it as uncharacterized. The transcript has 2 exons. Lineage: Eukaryota; Viridiplantae; Streptophyta; Magnoliopsida; Malvales; Malvaceae. The record is from RefSeq and is a predicted model, not a curated record.